This 292-nucleotide ribosomal RNA is filed under the name uncultured bacterium. RNAcentral's name for it is "partial 16S ribosomal RNA". It matches the Rfam family "Bacterial small subunit ribosomal RNA", at positions 505 to 796 of the family's 1533-position model. The record is from RNAcentral.
GUGCCAGCAGCCGCGGUAAUACGUAGGGGGCAAGCGUUGUCCGGAAUCAUUGGGCGUAAAGAGCGUGUAGGCGGCCUGAUAAGUCGGCUGUGAAAGUCAAGGGCUCAACCCUUGAAUGCCGGCCGAUACUGUCAGGCUAGAAUCCGGAAGAGGCGAGUGGAAUUCCUGGUGUAGCGGUGAAAUGCGCAGAUAUCAGGAGGAACACCUAUGGCGAAGGCAGCUCGCUGGGACGGUAUUGACGCUGAGACGCGAAAGCGUGGGGAGCGAACAGGAUUAGAAACCCUCGUAGUCC